RNAcentral lists this long non-coding RNA (593 nucleotides) under Rattus norvegicus (Norway rat). Its description in RNAcentral is "long non-coding RNA NONRATT028917". Lineage: Eukaryota; Metazoa; Chordata; Mammalia; Rodentia; Muridae. The record is from RNAcentral.
AUCGUAGUGCACACCUUUAAUCCCUCACAAUGACAGCAUGGUUAGUUUGUAAAAGGAAGCAGCCAUGUUUGAAAAUAACAUCUAAUUGAGGAAGUAACAUCUAAUUGAGGGGCAGACAAAGUGAUGAAUCAGAAAGAUUUAACAGAAUGAGUCAGAGAUAGGAUACACCCGCCUCACACAAGAACAGCACAGGAAAGAGAAGUUAGUUAAGGGCAGCAAGAAGGAAAUUUUACGGUAUGGUAUAUGGUAGGUGUUUUUGAGUAUGGUAGUUUUAUAAAGACAGGUGGCAGAGAGAACAAGCAGACAGGUGAAGACAGAACUAACCAGAGCAUUGGAAGAAGUCAGGAGAUUAGAACAUAUUUCCAAAGUUAGUAUGAGGCCAAGCAGAGAAGUUCAGUGAGAAGCCAAGAGAGGCUGGAUUGAAUCAGUCAGCUUGGAAAAUUAGGUUGUAUGGAGGUUAGAAGCUUCCAGGUCUAGGCUGACCGCUAGUUACAACAGAGAAAGAAACACUCUGGGCUCAGCCCAACCCAUGUGUUUGUACGGCUUGGAUACAGCUCUCUUCUCUGAGGAAAUAAAAGAGACAUUUACACAAA